CUUUAUACAGAUAGUUUUUCACUGCGAUCUAAAAUCUGUGAAUAUCUUCGAGAUUUUUUGAAGCGGCACAUACAUUUGAUCUCUAUAAAUAUCCACACAAGACUGAUCUUGAUCAGAAGAAUCCAAAGACCACUAGGGUAAUAGCUCCCUUGCAGGUCUCUCUCCUUCAAACUGAAUAUGAUCUUCUUCUUCCUUUUCUUCUUAAGAAACUAGGAAGAAGAAGAAGGCUCUUCCUCUUGGGCAACAAGAAGAGAGGAGGGUCUUAGGUGGCAACAAGAGGAGAAGAGGGGUUGGAUCCAAAACUUAGGGCAUCCCUUCAUCCUGGCCUUAUUUAUAGACCCCAUACCCUUAUCCAUCUAUCUUAUCCCUUUGAUUUUGAAUC
RNAcentral lists this long non-coding RNA (382 nucleotides) under Elaeis guineensis (African oil palm). Its description in RNAcentral is "long non-coding RNA (EGUI_LNC045462)". The record is from RNAcentral. Lineage: Eukaryota; Viridiplantae; Streptophyta; Magnoliopsida; Arecales; Arecaceae.